Molecule: non-coding RNA, 368 nt
Organism: Pelobates cultripes (western spadefoot toad)
Lineage: Eukaryota; Metazoa; Chordata; Amphibia; Anura; Pelobatidae
Source: the annotation of a GenBank genome assembly
AUGCAUUGUAUGGAUUUGUGUUUGUAUGCAUAAGGGAUGCAAGGUGUGUGUCUGUAAGUGUGUGCAUUCAGUGUGUGUAAGAAAUGCAUUGUGUUUCUGUGUGUAUGUAAGAGACGCAAUGUGUGUGUUUGCAUGUGUGUGUAAGGGAUGCAUUGUGUGUUUCUGUGUAUGUGUGCAAAGGAUGCAUUGUCUUUGUGUGUAAGAGUUGCAUUGUGUUUAUCUGUGUGUAAGGGAAGCAUGUUGUGUUUCUGUGUGUGUAGGGAUGCAUUGUGUGUGUGUGCGCAUAGUGUGAAAGAGUUCCCUGUCCUGCCCCCUGUCCUAUAGAGCUUUCCCUUCUGUCCCUUAGAGCUCUCCUCUGCCCCUUAGUG